Pollicipes pollicipes is the source of this 519-nucleotide long non-coding RNA. RefSeq lists it as uncharacterized. The record is from RefSeq and is a predicted model, not a curated record. The transcript is spliced from 3 exons. NCBI's taxonomy places the organism in Eukaryota, Metazoa, Arthropoda, Thecostraca, Pollicipedomorpha, Pollicipedidae.
AUUUGAUGCGCAUUGCUGCGUAGGUGCUGGGCACUUAAAUAACAUACAUUUUCUGAUCCUGGUGCCUGUGUUCCAUGAGCUCAGGCCAGGCUGCUCUAAAUUUUUUACUUAUUUGGACACAUGUAUUUCUUUUGCAUGAGUAGUGUGUUGGGGACCUUAGCCCAAAAUUGCCUUAAAAACAUCUAAGCCCCCUGAAACAUUGGCUUCUGGGGGCUUCAUUCUGGAUUGGCACACCAUGACACUAAGCCACAAGGGAGAUAGUGCACUUCUUCUGUAUGUAACCAGCAUUCUGGAGGUAUUCACCUGGCAACAAAGUAUUAUCAUUCCUUUUAACUCAACACAUUAUGGGCUCAGCAGAUGGCUCACUUACUCUGGUAAUCCAGCAUAUGGGCAAGAAAGAACUAGUGACAUUUCAAACAAGCACCACUCUCAGGGAGUUCCAACAGAAGGUUGAGGAGAUGACCAAGGUUCCAGCAUCUGCCCAGAAGGUUGUGCACAGGUAUAGAGCAGCAGUGGCUG